GCCGGGAUAGCUCAAUUGGUUGAGCAUGAGACUCUGAAUCUCAGGGUUGUGGGUUCGAGUCCCACAUCGGGCA
Molecule: transfer RNA, 73 nt
Filed under: Podarcis lilfordi (Lilford's wall lizard)
Lineage: Eukaryota; Metazoa; Chordata; Lepidosauria; Squamata; Lacertidae
Rfam family: tRNA
About the family: Transfer RNA (tRNA) molecules are approximately 80 nucleotides in length. Their secondary structure includes four short double-helical elements and three loops (D, anti-codon, and T loops).
Source: Rfam by way of RNAcentral